CCUACGGGCGGCUGCAGUGAGGAAUAUUGGUCAAUGGACGAGAGUCUGAACCAGCCAAGUAGCGUGAAGGAUGACUGCCCUAUGGGUUGUAAACUUCUUUUAUAAAGGAAUAAAACGAGGCACGUGUGCCUUUUUGCAUGUACUUUAUGAAUAAGGAUCGGCUAACUCCGUGCCAGCAGCCGCGGUAAUACGGAGGAUCCGAGCGUUAUCCGGAUUUAUUGGGUUUAAAGGGAGCGUAGAUGGGUUGUUAAGUCAGUUGUGAAAGUUUGCGGCUCAACCGUAAAAUUGCAAUUGAUACUGGCAGUCGUGAGUACAGUUGAGGUAGGCGGAAUUCGUGGUGUAGCGGUGAAAUGCUUAGAUAUCACGAAGAACCCCGAUUGCGAAGGCAGCUUACUAAACUGUGACUGACAUUGAUGCUCGAAAGUGUGGGUAUCAAACAGGAUUAGAUACCCUGGUAGUC
RNAcentral lists this ribosomal RNA (460 nucleotides) under uncultured bacterium. RNAcentral describes it as "partial 16S ribosomal RNA". It matches the Rfam family "Bacterial small subunit ribosomal RNA", at positions 338 to 795 of the family's 1533-position model. The record is from RNAcentral.